RNAcentral lists this ribosomal RNA (425 nucleotides) under uncultured bacterium. RNAcentral's name for it is "partial 16S ribosomal RNA". It matches the Rfam family "Bacterial small subunit ribosomal RNA", at positions 354 to 796 of the family's 1533-position model. The record is from RNAcentral.
GUAGGGAAUCUUGCGCAAUGGGCGAAAGCCUGACGCAGCCAUGCCGCGUGAAUGAUGAAGGUCUUAGGAUUGUAAAAUUCUUUCACCGGGGACGAUAAUGACGGUACCCGGAGAAGAAGCCCCGGCUAACUUCGUGCCAGCAGCCGCGGUAAUACGAAGGGGGCUAGCGUUGCUCGGAAUUACUGGGCGUAAAGGGAGCGUCGGCGGAUAGUUUAGUCAGAGGUGAAAGCCCAGGGCUCAACCUUGGAAUUGCCUUUGAUAAUGGCUAUCUGGAGUAUGGAAGAGGUAUGUGGAACUCCGAGUGUAGAGGUGAAAUUCGUAGAUAUUCGGAAGAACACCAGUGGCGAAGGCUACAUACUGGUCCAUUACUGACGCUGAGGCUCGAAAGCGUGGGGAGCAAACAGGAUUAGAAACCCGUGUAGUCC